GUGGUAACCGUUAUUAUUGGGUCUAAAGGGUCUGUAGCCGGCCGGAUAAGUCUCUUGGGAAAUCUGGCGGCUUAACUGUCAGGCUUUCAGGAGAUACUGUCUGGCUCGAGGCCGGGAGAGGUGAGAGGUACUUCAGGGGUAGGGGUGAAAUCUUGUAAUCCUUGAAGGACCACCAGUGGCGAAGGCGUCCCACCAGAACGGACCUGACGGCAAGGGACGAAAGCUAGGGGCACGAACCGGAUUAGAUACCCGGGUAGUCCUAGCCGUAAACGAUACUCGCUAGGUGUCGGCCACGGUGCGACCGUUGUCGGUGCCGUAGGGAAGCCGUGAAGCGAGCCACCUGGGAAGUACGGCCGCAAGGCUGAAACUUAAAGGAAUUGGCGGGGGAGCACCACAACGGGUGGAGCUUGCGGUUUAAUUGGAUUCAACGCCGGAAAUCUUACCGGGACCGACAGCAAUAUGAAGGCCAGGCUGAAGACUUUGCCGGAUUAGCU
This 494-nucleotide ribosomal RNA is filed under the name uncultured Methanosaeta sp. Its description in RNAcentral is "bacterial SSU rRNA". It matches the Rfam family "Archaeal small subunit ribosomal RNA", at positions 488 to 981 of the family's 1478-position model. The record is from RNAcentral. Lineage: Archaea; Methanobacteriati; Methanobacteriota; Methanomicrobia; Methanotrichales; Methanotrichaceae.